CCACUCCUCAUCUGUUUUGGGUAAAACAAUGUUUUCGUCGAUUAAUACAGUAUAGUUUUCGCUAAAAUCGACCAACAAACAAACAUUUUUCUACCCAGAACUACGUAAGCCUUGAUUUCUCUUUCGAGAUACGUAGGAGCAGGAUUUUUAAAUCUUGUCAGGCCCACCAAUAAAAAACUUAGGUUUAGUUCUUCGUCAAAAA
This 202-nucleotide long non-coding RNA is filed under the name Lathyrus oleraceus (garden pea). Its description in RNAcentral is "Pisum sativum (pea) long non-coding RNA (PSAT_LNC014517)". Lineage: Eukaryota; Viridiplantae; Streptophyta; Magnoliopsida; Fabales; Fabaceae. The record is from RNAcentral.